AUGCCGAGCCAGCAGAUCCCGGCCACGCCGGUCGGCGGCAUCACCUCCCGCCGCCACGCCAAGCUCCUGCUCCACCUCGUCGAAGGGGACGGGGGUGCCGCCGCCGGCGGCGGCGCGUCCGUCAAGGACCUCCGCCUCCGCCGCGUCGUCCCUCCCGCGUCCGCGACCCUCGACGUCUCCCCCGAAUGCGCCGCGGCCGCCGCCAAGCCCGGAUCCGUCCAGAUCCAGAGCACCCCGCCGGAGCCCGUGGCGGCCGCCGAAGACCGCGAGAGGAAGCCGAUGCUGCCGCGGUCCAAGCUCGUGCGCGACCCGGGCUCCUUCGGCUACCGGCGGCUGCUCCCUUUCCUCAACCAGAUGGCCAACAAAGGUUCAGACAUCUCAAGCAGCAAGGACAUGCCCUCCGAAAACAAGGUUCCCAUCCCAAGCAAGGAGCUCAGCAGAUCUGACUCCGGGUUGGCUGAUGAGAUACCUCCCGUGGGUGGGAGUCAAGGCGGAGCUGCUCCUCUGGAUUCCGUGGAGCCGCCGCCUGUUGUGAAGGCUGUAGCAGACACGGAGAUCCGUGACAGUGUCAAAGAAGAAACCAAGUCUACCCCUGUCGAUCUCGCAAGCAGCAAGCCCUCUCUUGCCCGCUGCACGAGGUCAAAGUUUGUUCAUCACCCGAGCUCAUUCAGCUACAAGAGGAUGUUGCCAUUUCUCAUGGAGAACGACAUCUCCUCUCAGGAAGGAGACAGGGCCAAGUUUAGAAGAUUAUCAGAAGAGCAGCAAAUGACAUCUGAUGAGACUGAUGUCCAGGCCAGUGGACAGAUUCAAUCUGCCACUGCAGAAGUUUUGCUGGAUGGCAGUGCAGCUGAAGUGCAGAAAGGCACACAAGGAGAAGAGCCAGCUUCAGUUGGAGACCCAUUGUCUUCAGAGAGUGGUGAAUUAGCAUCAGGCGUGAAUGCUGUUCCGCCCGGUCGACAGAACCAGCUUCCUGUUUCAGAAGACACUCAUGGUGAAGGAAAUGCAGCUGAAGUUGAAAGCACUGUGGAAGAGAAGGCAUCAAAAUCAGAUGAGAAGCCUGUUCCUAUGGAUUCUGUAGACCUGCCUGUUGGGAAGGCUGAAGGAACUCAGGAGGUGAAGGAUUGCUGUGACAGUGUGAAAGAGGAAACCAAGAUUGUACCUGCUGAUCUUGCAAGCAGCAAGCUGUCCCUUCCCCGCUGCAUGAGGUCAAAGUUUGUUCCCCAUCGAAGCUCAUUUAGCUACAAGAGGAUGCUGCCAUUUCUCAUGGAGAAUGAAACCUCUUCUCAGAAAGAAGACAUGGCCAAACUUCAAACAGUCUCGGAAGAGAAGCAAUUAGCAUUGCCUGAAAAUGAUGUGUUGGCUAGUGGAAAUCAUCUUUCUGUCUCAGAAGGCUCCCCUGAAGCAUGCUACCAAGCUGAACUUGACAGAAUUGUAGAAGAAAUAUCAUCAACAGAUGAGAACUAUCUUUUGAAGGGUGUACAGCUUCAGUCUGUUGUUCCAGUUGCAGAAGUCUCUCUGGAUGUCAGUACAGCUGAAGUGCAGAAAGUCACACAAGAAGUGUUGGCUUCAGAUGGAGACCUAUUAUCCCCAGACAAGCGUGAGCUAACAUCAGAGAGGAAUGAUGUCCUGGCUGGUGGACAGUGUCAGCUUGCUGUCUCAGAUGGCUCUGCUAAUGAAAGUGAUGUAGCUGAAGCUGAGAGGAUAGUUGAAGAAAAGGCAACAAAAUCAGAUGAGAAUUCUGUACUUAAUGACAGAGAUGAGUCAAGUGGAUUAGCAUCAGACAAGGGUGAGUUUCUGAUGGAAGAUCAGCCUCAGGCAUGUGACUCAAAGAAGUUACAAUGCAAUGCUGAUCUUGCUCUAGCACAACAAUGCCAGAGCCCAGAGUCAGGAUGUUCUAUCAAGACAGUAAUGGUGGAUGGUGGAGCUGAUCCACACGGUUCACCAGAGAGACAUGAUUCUGUGGCUUCUCUUGGUGGCCUACUGCUUGAUGUGGGAAUGAUCUGCAAGCCUUCUGAACCUUCUAUUGGCUCACCCUUAUCAGCAGAGGGAAUGUCUGGUUGUGUUGCACAUGCUGAAUCAGGGCUGAGUAAAGUGGGCACACCGUCUCCAUUGGGUUCUCCUUGUUUGGAACAACAACGCCUUUCUCCGAAGAUACCCUCCCCUAGCAGUGGCGCUUUCAGCGGCGCCUCUUUUCUGAAGAAGCGGCGCUUUUCUCCGAAGAAACUUUCUCCAAAGAAGGGAAUACUUAAGAGGCAUACAAUGGGGUGCAGGGGCAUCUGCAUGUGCUUGGACUGCAGUGUGUUUCGUCUACGUGCUGAUAGAGCUUUUGAGUUCUCUAGGAAGCAGAUGCAAGAGGCAGAUGAUAUAAUAGUGAACUUACUGGAGGAGGUGGCAAGUCUUAGGAGUAUGGCGGAGAAAUCUUCUGGCAAACAGGAGCAGAUGGAAGCUUGCCAGAGGGCGUUGCGGGUAGAGGAGGUGGCCAAGGAGCGUCGGCAGCAGAUGCUGGCCGAGCUCAACUCUCACUGCAAAAUUCCUGGCCCAAGGGUGAAAUUCGCUCAGUACGUCGAGGGAAAGAUGGCCUCUUCUCCUUCCAGCAGCAGGAGGCAAUAA
This 2610-nucleotide ribosomal RNA is filed under the name Triticum aestivum (bread wheat). RNAcentral describes it as "partial small subunit ribosomal RNA". Lineage: Eukaryota; Viridiplantae; Streptophyta; Magnoliopsida; Poales; Poaceae. The record is from RNAcentral.